This 475-nucleotide ribosomal RNA is filed under the name uncultured bacterium. RNAcentral describes it as "SSU rRNA". It matches the Rfam family "Bacterial small subunit ribosomal RNA", at positions 26 to 521 of the family's 1533-position model. The record is from RNAcentral.
AGGAUGAACGCUGGCGGCGUGCCUAACACAUGCAAGUCGAACGUCCUGUCUCGCAAGAGGCAGGGAGUGGCGGACGGGUGAGUACCACGUGGGUCAUCUACCGUGAGGUGAGGAAUACCGGCGAGAAAUCGCCGACAAGACCGCAUAGGCUCGAUGCAAGUCGAGCAAAGCUCUUUCGAGAGAGGGAGCGCCACACGAGGAGCCUGCGCCCGAUUAGCUAGCUGGUGGAGUAACGGUUCACCAGGGCGACGAUCGGUAGCUGGUCUGAGAGGACGAUCAGCCACACUGGGAUUGAGAACGGCCCAGACUCCUACGGGGGGCAGCAGUGAGGUAAUUUCGUCAAUGGGGGCAACCCUGAACGAGCAACGCCGCGUGCAGGAAGAAGGUUUCGGAUCGUAAACUGCUUCUCUCGGGAAGAGAACGGACGGUACCCGAGGAAUCACGCCCCGGCUAACUACGCGCCAGCAGCCGCGGU